RNAcentral lists this ribosomal RNA (864 nucleotides) under Acericola italica. Its description in RNAcentral is "eukaryotic LSU rRNA". It matches the Rfam family "Eukaryotic large subunit ribosomal RNA", at positions 39 to 924 of the family's 3401-position model. Lineage: Eukaryota; Fungi; Ascomycota; Dothideomycetes; Pleosporales; Phaeosphaeriaceae. The record is from RNAcentral.
CAUAUCAAUAAGCGGAGGAAAAGAACCAACAGGGAUGCCCUAGUAACGGCGAGUGAAGCGGCAACAGCUCAAAUUUGAAAUCUGGCUCUUUUAGAGUCCGAGUUGUAAUUUGCAGAGGGCGCUUUGGCGUUGGCAGCGGUCUAAGUUCUUUGGAACAGGACGUCACAGAGGGUGAGAAUCCCGUACGUGGUCGCUAGCCUUCGCCGUGUAAAGCCCCUUCGACGAGUCGAGUUGUUUGGGAAUGCAGCUCUAAAUGGGAGGUAAAUUUCUUCUAAAGCUAAAUACUGGCCAGAGACCGAUAGCGCACAAGUAGAGUGAUCGAAAGAUGAAAAGCACUUUGGAAAGAGAGUCAAACAGCACGUGAAAUUGUUGAAAGGGAAGCGCUUGCAGCCAGACUUGCCUGUAGUUGCUUAUCCGGACUUUUGUCCGGUGCACUCUUCUGCGGGCAGGCCAGCAUCAGUUUGGGCGGUUGGAUAAAGGUCUCUGUCAUGUACCUCUCUUCGGGGAGGCCUUAUAGGGGAGACGACAUGCAACCAGCCUGGACUGAGGUCCGCGCAUCUGCUAGGAUGCUGGCGUAAUGGCUGUAAGCGGCCCGUCUUGAAACACGGACCAAGGAGUCUAACAUCUAUGCGAGUGUUUGGGUGUCAAGCCCAGACGCGUAAUGAAAGUGAACGGAGGUGGGAACCCUUUGGGUGCACCAUCGACCGAUCCUGAUGUCUUCGGAUGGAUUUGAGUAAGAGCAUGGCUGUUGGGACCCGAAAGAUGGUGAACUAUGCUUGAAUAGGGUGAAGCCAGAGGAAACUCUGGUGGAGGCUCGCAGCGGUUCUGACGUGCAAAUCGAUCGUCAAAUUUGGGCAUAGGGGC